Molecule: ribosomal RNA, 468 nt
Filed under: uncultured bacterium
Lineage: Bacteria
Description: partial 16S ribosomal RNA
Rfam family: Bacterial small subunit ribosomal RNA
Source: RNAcentral
GACGAACGCUGGCGGCGUGCUUAACACAUGCAAGUCGAACGGAAAGGCCCUGCUUUUGUGGGGUGCUCGAGUGGCGAACGGGUGAGUAACACGUGAGUAACCUGCCCUUGACUUUGGGAUAACUUCAGGAAACUUGGGCUAAUACCGGAUAGGAGCUCCUGCUGCAUGGUGGGGGUUGGAAAGUUUCGGCGGUUGGGGAUGGACUCGCGGCUUAUCAGCUUGUUGGUGGGGUAGUGGCUUACCAAGGCUUUGACGGGUAGCCGGCCUGAGAGGGAGACCGGCCACAUUGGGACUGAGAUACGGCCCAGACUCCUACGGGAGGCAGCAGUGGGGAAUAUUGCACAAUGGGCGGAAGCCUGAUGCAGCAACGCCGCGUGCGGGAUGACGGCCUUCGGGUUGUAAACCGCUUUCGCCUGUGACGAAGCGUGAGUGACGGUAAUGGGUAAAGAAGCACCGGCUAACUACGUG